CGAUUAAACGAUAAUAACAUUUGGGAAGAAAAUGGACUUAUUGCAAAUAGACUUAAAAGAAAUCUUAAAAAGGAUGAACAAAUAUGUGCUUUUCACCGGUACACGUUUGGUAUUGCAUGGAGUCCUCCAAAAACAUGUUUUCAUCCUCACCAUCUAAAUAUAAAAGGAAAAAAAUCUCCCGCUUUAAGGGCGUCACCAAUACAUGUCAAUAUCAAUGUCAAAGCGAUACAAUGAAGUAUUUUCAGUUAGUGAAAUGCUGUGUUUUACCCAUUUAAAGCAAGAAACAGCUUUAUCUAGAGUCAACAAAAACACCAAUUUAUGUACAGAAACACAAACACAACAAGAACAAACAUAUAUGACACCUGCUACUCCAGAUGAAGAAUUUGAUCCCGGUGAAAUUAAUGUUUCACAGGAGAUUUUGGACGAAUCUCUAAGAAGCCGUGAGAGUGUAACUGAGGUUCUUAAUGCAAGUCCAAUAAAAUUUAGAUUAAAAAGGAAGUUCGAAUAUCUGGAAGAUACUACUAAAGAUCAGUGGCGGAUUGAGGUUUAGCGUCGCGGGGGGGCCAAGUCAAUAAAUAGGGGCGACCGGGGUUGCCUUCAAUAAUUUAAUCUUAUAUAUAUAUAUACAUUUUAAUUGUUUUAGGGGGCGCCGUUAGACCGUUCUAGGGGGCGUGGGGGGGGGCAGCUUGCCCCCCCUCACGCCCUAUACUAAAUCCGUCACUGCUAAAGAUAAGUUAAAACGCAAGAAUGUUCGCCUAGAAAACUUAUUAAAGAAAAAAUUUGCGGAAGCUGUUGCUCCUAGACAAGAGGAAAUACUUAUAGAUUUUCUUAACAGUAAAAAUGUUGAUGAAAUAAAUAGCCCUCUCCCAAUUGAAAUUAUUCGUGCUCAGAAAGUAUAUAAGCAAAGUGAUUCCAUGGGAAAGUGAGUUAUCCUUUCAUUAUUAGACCAUACCAAUUAUACCAAAAAGUUUAUAAUGAACACAUUUGAGUGUACCAAACAUCGUAUAGAAACAGCAAGAAAAUGGCAUGCAUCUCAUAAAGGGUUGGCAUUUCCAGAGAAAAAAGUAUUCGUCCGAUCUAGUUUUGAUCAAACAAAGUGUGAACAUUUCUUAGACUUUAUAUUUACAAGCGGUAUUUUGCAUGAUGUUGCUUAUGGAAUAACCAAAUUAAAAUACGACAGCGGUGAAGAACAAAAGAUAGUGCAUGCAAUUCUGACGACAAAAUAUAGCCACGCUAUCAUGUUCUAUCGAAAAAGUUGUAGUGAAAACAAUUAUAUACCAUUAUCUGAUUCAAGUUUGUGGAAAGUAUUGCAUGCAAUAAAUCCUUCAAGUCGAAAAAGCUUAGCUGGAUUAGAUGAUGUUACUGCUUCAGGCAUGAAUGGUUUUCAAACAUUACAAAAAUUGGCACAAAGAUUUAGUUCUAAAUCUCUCGAAGCUGCCCUUGAAAAAAGAAAAAGGUAUUUGAAAACAAGUUAUCAAACCAAUUGUGGUGUCAAUGACUCAAACAUUUCUUCUCAUAGCUCAAAACAUGACUUAUCAGAUCCAUCUAAAAAAAAUCUUUAAUCCAACACAGAGAUAUCAGAAGUGGUAUGUGCCGAUUGCUAUGAUUUGUGCAAAGCUAUCAAGAUGAUCAAAGAACUAACAAUUCAAAAUUCUGACAAUGUUGAUUCUAUUUAUGAUUUGGAAAUUUCUGUAAAGGAUGUAUUCAACUACAUAAAACACCUGAUGAGAGAUUCUCAACAGAAAAAGGCAAAAAUUAAAGCUUUUAAGAAAUUAAACAAUGAAACUGCUUUCUGGCUUAAAGAUUUUUGUCAAAAAUUUCUUCCGGUUCGAUACAGAGAGGGCCAAAGAGAUUAUUUUGGCAAGAAAGGAAUGUGUUUACAUGUGGAUAUAUUCUUCAUAAAAAUAGCAGGAAAGUUAUUCAAACGUGUUUACUUUACUUCAAUGUAUAGGUGUGAUCAGGGAAUAGGUGAUGUUGUUUCGUUAGCCACUGCAGUUUUAGACCAAUUCAGAAUUGAUCAACCGCAUAUCAAGAAAAUGAUUACCAAAUCUGAUAAUGCCGGCUGCUAUCAGGGAAAUCUUUCAGCUGAAGCAAUCUAAAAUGUAUGCAAAAAGAGAGAUAUAAAGUUGCUGAGAUAUGAUUAUAAUGAACCCUGUUGUGGAAAAGAUCAAUGUGACAGGGAGAGUGCAGUUGUAAAGACAAUUUUAAGGAGUUACGAUGACUCUGGUAAUAAUCUUUUGACUGCUGAAGAUAUACACAAGGCUAUGCAUUAUAGUUUUGGCGCUAAAGAUGCAAAAGUAGCAGUUGCUCAAAUUAGCAAUGAUAAAACUGUAGUUACUGGACCAAAGAUUAAGAACAUUAGCAACUAUAACUCAUUUGAGUUUGGUGAGAAAAGUAUGAAGAUGUGGCGUUAUUUCAAUAUCGGUGAGGGAAUUGAACAAGAGUAUGGAAAUCUUAAAAUUCAACCCUCGAUUAAGUUGUUGUUGCCAUAUAGCAAAACAGAUAAUUCAAUUAGGCGUAACAAGUCACUUAAGGAAAAACAGAAAAAAAGUGACAGGCAAUUAUAUUUAUUAAGAUUUUGCACUGAAAUGAAUUGCACUUUAUCAUUUGAAAGCGAUGCUGAGUUACAAGAACACAUGCUAUCCGGUCUUCAUACAGUUCCGAAAUCAUUAACAUCAUUGGAUAAAGUUCGCAACUCGUUUGUUCAUAAGAUGAAAAUUACUUCACAACUAAAUAUGCCAAUUUCUUCAUCCUCUAACAGUGCUUCCGUAAAAGACAAACCGCAUUACAUGAACCGCAUUGCAUGAACCGCAUUGCAAGAACCGCAUUGCAUGAACCGCAUUGCAUGAACCGCAUUGCAUGAGCCGCAUUGCAUGAACCGCAUUGCAUGGACCGCAUUGCAUGACAACCGCAUUGCAUGACAACCGCAUUGCAUUGCAACCGCAUUGCAAGACAAACCGCAUUGCAUGAACCGCAUUGCAUGAACAAUUGCAUGCUUCCGUAAAAGACAAACCGCAUUGCAUGAACAUUUUUCUAUUGCAAGGUUGGGCAUUACCAGUUUGAAAUUCUUUUAGAUUUUCAAAUCAGCAGAAAGAACUGUUGUAUAAAUACUUUAUUCGUGGAGAAGAAUCAGGUAAUAAAAUGAGCCCUGAGCAGGUUCACAUGCAGCUGAGGAGAGAAUUUCCGCCUGAUCAAUAUGUAACUAGCCAGCCGAUAAGAUCUUUAUUUUCAAGAUUUAGUAACCUGAAAAGAAAAGGUAAGCUGGUAGAACCGACAACAGAAAAUAAUGAAAAUAGUCAGGUUAACGAUAACAAAGAAGUUUAUGGCGAAAAUGAUGACUUUAAUCUGACAGGAGACAGUGAAGAUGAUAAUAAAUAUGAGGAAGACAUCGCCAAUCUUGCAAAAGAAAUUUGUCUUGUAUGGAAAGUGAAUGAUUGGGUUGCUGUUGCAUAUGAAAAACAAUAGAAUAUUGGAUAUAUUGUGGAGGUAUCUAUAACUGGGAUCAGAGUUAAUUGCAUGAUUAAAGGGCAAGAGAAGAAUACUUUUCGCUGGCCAGUUACUACCGAGGAGAUAAAUAACCAAACUGAUAAAAUUAUCUGUUUAGUAAAUGCUCCUUUUCUAAUCAGUGGUUGUGGCGAUUAUUCAUUAUCCGAAGAAGACUAUAAUACAGUCAUAUCAUUAUUCUUAGAGAAACUUACUGCAUCAGAGUAGAAAUUAUGUGUGAUGUGGUGGAUAAUGUGUGUAAAUGACUCUAUUAAUAAAUGAAAAACUAAUUUUUAAAUGGAAAAACAUUUAAAUGUUUGAUUUAUGUUUUAUUUAAUUAGCAAUAUAGUUAUCUUGAUGUUA
This is a non-coding RNA of Hydra vulgaris (swiftwater hydra), 3846 nucleotides long. The record is from RefSeq and is a predicted model, not a curated record. NCBI's taxonomy places the organism in Eukaryota, Metazoa, Cnidaria, Hydrozoa, Anthoathecata, Hydridae.